This is a small nucleolar RNA of Papilio machaon (common yellow swallowtail), 81 nucleotides long. RefSeq annotates it as small nucleolar RNA U3. The transcript has a single exon. Lineage: Eukaryota; Metazoa; Arthropoda; Insecta; Lepidoptera; Papilionidae. The record is from RefSeq and is a predicted model, not a curated record.
AAGAACUUACUUAAUAGGAUCAUUUCUAUAGUAAGUUCUUCACGAGACAAUAGACGAAUGGCGGAUUCCAACCGUUAAGGU